GUAGGCAAGCCGAGAGAGAUCUUGCUUUUGAAGAACUAGGCCUGAUAGCCAGUGGACCUGGUAUCGUCCCAGGGUUUCUGGACUCUCACAAGCUCACAGUUCAUGGUUAAGUUCUCUGAGAAAGGAUUUCCACCUCGGCAUAGGCCCAACCCUCUCCCCAUCCCUCUAGCUAAGGACCAGAGUGUCCGCAGGGCGGCGCCCCGCGCCAGGAUUUGGUUCCUUUUACCUCCGGGUGCCUCUGUUCUGCGCCUUCCAGCCUUUCUUCUCCCUGGCUUGCUUCGCUUUCUGAGGUGAGGGUACCUAUUUCUUUUGUCAUUUUGCACAGAAAAUGUAAACGUUUCCUACUCUAAAAAGGUCAUCUUUAAAAUUUUCUUAUAAAAACAAUAAGAUAUUCCUACAAUUUUUCUCUCUCUAAAUGCUAUUACUGCGGUAUAAAAACAAAAAAGGAACAAGUUCCUCAAGGAUUUCAUUUUCACGGAUGCAACUGUAAUUAUUCAUGUUACCAGAAGAUGGCAGUACACCAUUAAUAACAGUGGCGCAUCCCUUAGAACAAAAUGGCUUGUUCAAUUUUUUGGAGCUUGGUAGACCUAGGUACUAAACAAAUGUUAGUGGAUCUGUUGCUAAGUGCAAGGUUAUUCUGGGUUGCGUUAGUUAAUACAAGAGACAAAAGCUGCUGUGAUGGAGAGUGCUAAACUAAACUUGCAAGCACAAUUAAGAAGAGAGAAUUGUCCCAGUCUUGUCUUUUAAAAUUUCAUCUCACCCCUCCUCAUUCAUUGAAAGUCACAUUUCUGAGAGAAAACAUUAUAGCAAAAGGAAGGAAGGAAAACAAAAUACAACAAAAUUCUCUUAUAAAUGAGGAUACUUUAAAAAGGCAAAGUGAUUUGCCCAAACACACUGGUAAUGAUUAGCUCCAGGUCUGUUGACCAACAUUUUCUCUAUCCAUGGUACCACACUGAUUCUCGAAAUGACAAAUUCAGGGAUUAAGAAUUCCAGUCCUUGCCCCAUCACUGACCGUUUGUGAUCUCUUAAGCAAAUUAUUUAAUUACUUUUAUGUAAAAAGUAAGGCACUGGACUAUGUCAGUUCAAGCAUUUUUACCAAGAGAAUUUUUUUUUCUUUUUUUCAUUUUAAGACUCCUAUUCAGAAGUUCAAAACCUAAAAUAAAAGAAAAUGCUAGAGUUGAAAGAGAUGUUUUCCUCUUGAGUUUACUCCUUUCUCCCCCAGAAUCUUAGGCUUCCUCAGAGCACAGUUUGUAAACUAUCAGACUGGGUGAUCUUGUAAAUACCUUUCAGCUCUAAAGAUUAAUUAUCCCUCAAGUUCAUUGAAUUAAUUGUGAGAUAGCAAUAAAAUACCCUCAAAAGUUAUUACUGUUUGAUAAAAAACAAAAGCAACAACAACAAAAAGCUAAAUCCUGAAGAUGAUGACAAACUGGUAUUUGUUAUCUGUUAAGAACAAAGAGAAACUGACUUUUAAAGCACUUUCAAUAUUUUUCAACACGAUGCCUCUGAAUAAUGACAUUAUCUUCAUGUUUUACAGGGUCCUUAAACAUGCUUGGCCAGGUUUCCGCUGUGAACAUCCUCUGGCACAUGCUCUCAGAAAUCAGAAGGUUGCCUGUGGAGAACACUGUGGCUCCCUUGCAUUUAGGCAACAGACUUUUGGCUGUAGAUUCCUGCAAAUAUCUCCAGGCUGGGCUCCUCAUCGGUCCUCCACCUUUCAAUCCAUCCUCCACACAACGGACUGAAUGACCUUUAAAAUAUAUGUCAGAUGACAUUGCUGCAUGUUUAAACCUUUCAAUGACUCUUUCUUGCACUUCCAAGAAAAUUCACAUUCCUUACACUGACCUACAGGCACUGCAUGAUCUUCCUUAUCCACUAUCUGACUUUAAUUGGCAUUCGCGGACCAUAUUCCAGCUGCACAGGCCUUCGGACAGUUCCGGGAAUAGCCCAAACCUUUUCUAGUCUUUAGAACUCUUGUGUGUACUUUUUUUCCCUUUCCCAGAACACACUGGCAUUUCCUAAAGUCUCAGCUAAAAUAUUUCUCCUCAGAGGGGUCUUCUCUGGCCACCCUAUCUAAAGUAUCAACAAUAAAGUACACCUUAUUCUUUCGCACAGGGCUUGGAAAUGUUUGACCUGUAGGCCAAACUGGCCCACCAUGUUGUUUUUAUAAAUAAAAUUUUAUUGGAAAGCAGCCAUUUUUAUUCAUUUAAGUAUUAACCAUGACUGUUCUGGUGUCACAGUGGCCAGGUUGAAUAGUUGCAAAGCCUUUUAUCUGGCCCUUUAUAGAAAAAGUUUAUCAAUCUCUGAUCUAUAAAGUAAACAUGCACUCCCAUCAGCAUCUCUUCAUUUCUGUAUAUUCUCCAGUACCUUCAGGUAGUUGCUUUUUAAAUUAUGUUUAAGUUUUAUAGUUAUUUUCUUCAGAGUAAGUCAUCCUGUGGAAUCUUUUUUCCAUUAUACCCAGAAGCCGAUUCUAGUUAUUUAAAAAAUUCUGUUCAAUAGUUCCAAUAUCUGAAACAUCUCUGAGUCUUGUUCUAUAGUUGAUUCAUCUCUUGAAAAUGGGUCAUUUUCUCCUAUUUUUAACUUUAUAUAUCUUAUAUUUUGUAUUGAAUGUCUAAUAUUAUGUGUAGAAGAAUGAUGAAAACUGAGGUAAAUAGUAUUUAUAUGUAGUAAUAGGCACCAGUUAACAUUACUGAUUGUUACUGUGGUAACAAUGGUUACCACAUUUCUGUCUGCACAAUAGUAUGGCAGGUUGUGUCACUGUAGUCAAUAGUUAUGCAGAGUUUGGUAUUUUAUGUUGCUUUUAUAACCUGUAUACCACAGUCUUCAAAAUCCUUGACAGGAUAUUUCUGUUGCCUUGUGUCGUGUGAGCAUCUCGUGGAGGCCUGUGGAAACAAGCCUGCACAUAAGUGUGAGCUUACCUUGCAUGGGCUUAUGGUUAUUUUAAGUUGAUAUGCUAGCUCACACUUGGCUUUUAGUAUGUUUUCUCAUUUUUAGCUGACUUUCUCUUAGUUUAUUUAAUGGCAACCGCCUUUCUCUCAUGUUCUGUCAAAACUGAAAUAGUCCUUGGACCCCAUCUCUCCU
Molecule: non-coding RNA, 3075 nt
Organism: Chlorocebus sabaeus (green monkey)
Lineage: Eukaryota; Metazoa; Chordata; Mammalia; Primates; Cercopithecidae
Source: RefSeq, a predicted model, not a curated record